GCUUAAAUAUGUAGAUCGAACU
Molecule: microRNA, 22 nt
Filed under: Solanum lycopersicum (tomato)
Lineage: Eukaryota; Viridiplantae; Streptophyta; Magnoliopsida; Solanales; Solanaceae
Description: sly-miR9478-5p
Source: miRBase by way of RNAcentral